Molecule: ribosomal RNA, 777 nt
Filed under: uncultured Neocallimastigales
Lineage: Eukaryota; Fungi; Neocallimastigomycota; Neocallimastigomycetes; Neocallimastigales
Description: partial large subunit ribosomal RNA
Rfam family: Eukaryotic large subunit ribosomal RNA
Source: RNAcentral
UACGACUACAUAUCAGGCAUAUCAAUAAGCGGAGGAAAAGAAACUAACAAGGAUUCCCCUAGUAACGGCGAGUGAAGCGGGAAGAGCUCAAAUUUGAAAUCUUAAAGGGUUUCCCUUUACGAAUUGUAGUUUAAAGAAGUGUUUUCUGUUGGAGUUUCGGUAAAAGUUCUUUGGAGUAGGACAUCAUAGAGGGUGAGAAUCCCGUAUUUGACCGUUACUUUCCAGCUGUGUGAUACACUUUCAAAGAGUCGGAUUGUUUGGGAAUGCAGUCCAAGAUGGGUGGUAAAUUUCAUCUAAAGCUAAAUAUUGGCGAGAGACCGAUAGCGAACAAGUACCGUGAGGGAAAGAUGAAAAGAACUUUGAAAAGAGAGUUAAACAGUACGUGAAAUUGUCAAAAGGGAAGCGUUUGACACCAGUGUUGUUUAGUUGAAAAUCAAUUCAAUAGUUUUUGAUUUUGAAGUAGUAUUGACUUCAUCAGCUUGCUGCUUUCUUUCUCAGAAAUUAUUGAAUGCACUUUUCAGUUAACAAGUCAAUAUCAAUUUCUUUUGUUGUAAAAGGGUAAGAGGAAGGUGGCUUGCGCUUCGGCUCAAGUGUUUAUAGCCUUUUAUCUCUGCAAUCGGAGAGAUUGAGGUCUGCAGCGUAGAUCCUUCGGGGUUAGAUACAUUGGUGCUAAGCUAUAGCCUUGUAUAGACAACUGGUUGACUAUGCUCAGUCAUGUAGCUUACUCGCUGAUGCUAUUUUACCUACGCUUAGGAUGUUGAGUAGCGACAUACGCAC